AGAUAAAAUAGAAAAAAGUUUCUAACUUUAAAAAAGCAUUGAAUUGUUAUUUAUCUU
RNAcentral lists this transfer RNA (57 nucleotides) under Gynaikothrips ficorum. RNAcentral describes it as "tRNA-Ser". Lineage: Eukaryota; Metazoa; Arthropoda; Insecta; Thysanoptera; Phlaeothripidae. The record is from RNAcentral.